GCGAAUGGUGGAUGCCUUGACUGGUAAAGGCGAUGAAGGACGUACUAGACUGCGAUAAGCUACGGGGAGCUGUCAAGAAGCUUUGAUCCGUAGAUUUCCGAAUGGGGCAACCCAAUGUAUAGAGAUAUACAUUACCUAUAUAGGAGCGAACGAGGGGAAUUGAAACAUCUUAGUACCCUCAGGAAAAGAAAUCAAUAGAGAUUGCGUCAGUAGCGGCGAGCGAAAGCGCAAGAGGGCAAACCCAGUGCUUGCACUGGGGGUUGUAGGACUGCAAUGUGCAAGAGCUGAGUUUAGCAGAACAUUCUGGAAAGUAUAGCCAUAGAGGGUGAUAGUCCCGUAUGCGAAAAACAAAGCUUAGCUAGCAGUAUCCUGAGUAGGGCGGGACACGAGGAAUCCUGUCUGAAUCCGGGUCGACCACGAUCCAACCCUAAAUACUAAUACCAGAUCGAUAGUGCACAAGUACCGUGAGGGAAAGGUGAAAAGAACUGAGGUGAUCAGAGUGAAAUAGAACCUGAAACCAUUUGCUUACAAUCAUUCAGAGCACUAUGUAGCAAUACAGUGUGAUGGACUGCCUUUUGCAUAAUGAGCCUGCGAGUUGUGGUGUCUGGCAAGGUUAAGCAAACGCGAAGCCGUAGCGAAAGCGAGUCUGAAUAGGGCGCUUAGUCAGAUGCUGCAGACCCGAAACGAAGUGAUCUAUCCAUGAGCAAGUUGAAGCUAGUGUAAGAACUAGUGGAGGACUGAACCCAUAGGCGUUGAAAAGCCCCGGGAUGACUUGUGGAUAGGGGUGAAAGGCCAAUCAAACUUCGUGAUAGCUGGUUCUCUCCGAAAUAUAUUUAGGUAUAGCGUUGUGUCGUAAUAUAAGGGGGUAGAGCACUGAAUGGGCUAGGGCAUACACCAAUGUACCAAACCCUAUCAAACUCCGAAUACCUUAUAUGUAAUCACAGCAGUCAGGCGGCGAGUGAUAAAAUCCGUCGUCAAGAGGGAAACAACCCAGACUACCAGCUAAGGUCCCUAAAUCUUACUUAAGUGGAAAACGAUGUGAAGUUACUUAAACAACCAGGAGGUUGGCUUAGAAGCAGCCAUCCUUUAAAGAAAGCGUAAUAGCUCACUGGUCUAGUGAUUUUGCGCGGAAAAUAUAACGGGGCUAAAGU
This 1151-nucleotide ribosomal RNA is filed under the name Campylobacter jejuni. RNAcentral's name for it is "partial 23S ribosomal RNA". It matches the Rfam family "Bacterial large subunit ribosomal RNA", at positions 17 to 1188 of the family's 2925-position model. Lineage: Bacteria; Pseudomonadati; Campylobacterota; Epsilonproteobacteria; Campylobacterales; Campylobacteraceae. The record is from RNAcentral.